This 1053-nucleotide long non-coding RNA is filed under the name Vulpes vulpes (red fox). RNAcentral's name for it is "lncRNA (ENSVVUG00000024064.1)". Lineage: Eukaryota; Metazoa; Chordata; Mammalia; Carnivora; Canidae. The record is from RNAcentral.
AUGUUACGAUGUUACGGGGCUGCAGGAUGGCAGGGGAGGGACAAACGGGGGGAGACUUGGGGGCUGUCUCAGAAUCCCCCAGACAGACUCGGUGUGGAAGGCAAAGCACGGAGGGCGGAGGGUGGGUGGUGUGUCCGAGCAGGUGGUUUGCUGUGGCUGGAGAGUGGGGCAUGGAGGAGCCGGGCCGCGGGAGAGAAGCCGGCAGAGUGGGGCAGGGACCAGCCCCCGGAGGGUGCAGCUGGCCCAGCUGAGGAGCCUCGGUUUCCCUGGAGGGAAGGGGCCACCCUGGAGAUCCUCGAAGACCCUCGGAUAAGCGUGGGAGAAGCACUAGGUAAGACUUGCUCCCCUGCCCCCCCGGAUCUGGCUCCACCGCGGGAACCACAGUGGACAUGGGGAGGCCAUGUAGAGAGGAGGCCUCCACCUCCUAGCACUUUCUCUCUUCCUGGUGUCUCCUGGCCCCUUGGAGCUCCCUGGUCUCUGCUGGUCCCUCCGGCCACUUGUGAGCACGUUCUCCAGGGUGCUUGGGCUCUUCAUGCAUUGGACAUUUUGAGGUUUAGCUCAAUCCCCUUUCCCAAAACUCAUUCUAUAAGUGAUCCCUUCCCUGCAGACACUCCUGCACACACACCCAUUCACACACUUGUGGUCACACACACCCACACACACGUGUGCACUCAUACGUUCAUGCACUCACAUAUGUACUUGCACACAACCACAAUGCACCCAUCCUCGUGCACACACACUCAUUCCCACCAUACCCCCACACACGUGCACUCACAUACUUGGAGAACUCACUCAUGCAUGCACACACAACACCCACGCUCAUACACAUACCUAUGCAUGCAAUCACAGCACACAAUACUCACACAGUCUCCCUUUUCCUCUCCCACCCCCCACCCCCUACCAUCUGUCUUGUUUCCAGACUUCUUUGAAGGAUCAGAACUAACAUGUACUGAGAAUCUUCAGGGGGUCAUACGAUGGGUUCUGGUUCUUUCCACUUCUCCUCAGUGGCAGUCUUCCAGGGUGGAUGUCAUCCCCCAUUGUACAGAUGUGUAA